RNAcentral lists this ribosomal RNA (313 nucleotides) under uncultured bacterium. RNAcentral's name for it is "bacterial SSU rRNA". It matches the Rfam family "Bacterial small subunit ribosomal RNA", at positions 30 to 342 of the family's 1533-position model. The record is from RNAcentral.
AUUGAACGCUGGCGGCAGGCCUAACACAUGCAAGUCGAGCGGUAGAGAGGUGCUUGCAUCUCUUGAGAGCGGCGGACGGGUGAGUAAUGCCUAGGAAUCUGCCUAGUGGUGGGGGAUAACGUUCGGAAACGGACGCUAAUACCGCAUACGUCCUACGGGAGAAAGCGGGGGAUCUUCGGACCUCGCGCCAUUAGAUGAGCCUAGGUCGGAUUAGCUAGUUGGUGAGGUAAUGGCUCACCAAGGCGACGAUCCGUAACUGGUCUGAGAGGAUGAUCAGUCACACUGGAACCUGAGACACGGUCCAGACUCCUAC